CCUACGGGAGGCAGCAGUGAGGAAUAUUGGUCAAUGGACGGAAGUCUGAACCAGCCAUGCCGCGUGCAGGAAGACGGCCCUAUGAGUUGUAAACUGCUUUUGUACAGGGGUAAACCUGAAUACGUGUAUUCAGCUGAAAGUACUGUACGAAUAAGGAUAGGCUAACUCCGUGCCAGCAGCCGCGGUAAUACGGAGGAUCCAAGCGUUGACCGGAUUUAUUGGGUUUAAAGGGUGCGUAGGCGGAUUGAUAAGUUAGAGGUGAAAUGUCCGAGCUUAACUCGGGAACGGCCUCUGAUACGGUUGAUCUAGAGAGUAGAUGAGGUAGGCGGAAUGUAAGGUGUAGCGGUGAAAUGCUUAGAGAUCAUACAGAACACCGGUUGCGAAGGCGGCUUACCGAUCUAUAUCUGACGUUGAGGCACGAAAGCGUGGGGAGCAAACAGGAUUAGAUACCCGAGUAGUC
RNAcentral lists this ribosomal RNA (460 nucleotides) under uncultured bacterium. RNAcentral's name for it is "partial 16S ribosomal RNA". It matches the Rfam family "Bacterial small subunit ribosomal RNA", at positions 338 to 795 of the family's 1533-position model. The record is from RNAcentral.